CGGCGGACGGGUGAGUAACGCGUGGGUAACCUACCCUGUACACACGGAUAACAUACCGAAGGUAUGCUAAUACGGGAUAAUAUAGUUUGAGAGGCAUCUCUUAAAUAUCAAAGGUGAGCCAGUACAGGAUGGACCCGCGUCUGAUUAGCUAGUUGGUAAGGUAACGGCUUACCAAGGCGACGAUCAGUAGCCGACCUGAGAGGGUGAUCGGCCACAUUGGAACUGAGACACGGUCCAA
This 238-nucleotide ribosomal RNA is filed under the name uncultured bacterium. RNAcentral's name for it is "partial 16S ribosomal RNA". It matches the Rfam family "Bacterial small subunit ribosomal RNA", at positions 96 to 334 of the family's 1533-position model. The record is from RNAcentral.